This 253-nucleotide ribosomal RNA is filed under the name uncultured bacterium. RNAcentral describes it as "partial 16S ribosomal RNA". It matches the Rfam family "Bacterial small subunit ribosomal RNA", at positions 524 to 776 of the family's 1533-position model. The record is from RNAcentral.
GACGAACCGAGCGAACGUUGUUCGGAAUCACUGGGCUUAAAGGGCGCGUAGGCGGGCUGCCAAGUCUGUGGUGAAAUCCUCCAGCUUAACUGGAGAACGGCCGUGGAUACUGGCGGUCUCGAGGGAGGUAGGGGCAAGCGGAACUGUGCGUGGAGCGGUGAAAUGCGUUGAUAUGCACAGGAACUCCGGUGGCGAAGGCGGCUUGCUGGACCUCUUCUGACGCUGAGGCGCGAAAGCUAGGGGAGCGAACGGG